UUCUUAGGGAAAGGAAAACACCCCCGUACCACACCAAACUAGCCACACGACCGCGUGGUGAUGCGAAUCAUCGCCUCGUCGCCCAACCAUCCGUCCAUCCCAUAUCUGACCCCUUCCCUCCCCAAACCGUCAAAUCCCACCUCGCCGUCGCCUCCAAUCUCCCCACCUCGCCAUCGCCAUGGGCAAGAAGCAGUAGCUCGAACCGCAAUCCAACUUGGCAGCAAAGUCCGCUACCGCGAAGGCUUUAGCUGCCGCUAAGAUCGUCGAGCCGGCAACCCCUCACCCUAUCUCACGGCGACCCCCAACCAAUAUCGACGUCAAGCCGGCUCGCUCCUCCUGCAUGGCCGCCGAUCAGCGAUCCCCACACUCAAUCUCGGCGUGAAGCCCGCUCUUCGCGCACGGCUCUCGGUCUUCGUUGCCUGCGACGCGGCGCCUUCCUGGGUGCUGGGCCGUGAGCUGGGCCAUGAUCCCAUUGUCGAACACCUAGGUCAUCGAGGAGCCGCUCCUCCGGCACGGCUGCUAUUCUUCAUCACCUUCGAUGUCUCCUGAGCGCUAGGAUGCGGGUCGGGCGUGGUUCCAUUGCAGUCCACCGUAGGUCGUCGAGGAGCAAGCCGUUCGUUCCUCUGCUCAGCUUCCAUCCCACUUUUAGAUGCACAGAGAUUAACAAAGAGCAUGUUUGAAGAGGUUUAUUAGUAACGGAAUUCCCUUUGUAAAUUCACAUCCAAGAUUUAAUAACCGAUGGGGUAUAGAGAUGCUGACUGAUUUUCCUGAGUAGGUAUUGCCCCAUAUGAUGGUAAGAUACCCUCUAUUUCAUGAUUGAGCUUUCUAUAUAAUAUUAUCAACCAAACUACAAUUUAUCUACUUUUAGUUUUCCUUUUUUUAGCAAAAAAUAGUCGGGAAGACCCCUACUUAUUUUUUCCUUUAUCUUAAAGUCAAAUCUCUACUGUAAUUUAGGCUUUUUGUUGCCCAAACAGCUCUGUUGACUAAUUAAGAAAGUUAGCAUUUGCUACUAUUGUUCAUACCAUUCAACUAGCCUCCUUGCUAUGGAUGAGGAUUAGUGGAUGAAGCACAAAGAAAGAUAAGUGGUGAAUAUUUGGAACAUGCUAAUUUAAUUUUAGUAUGAAGUAUCCCUUACAUUGUAGCUAUCUGUCGCUGUCACAGAUAUAUUAUCUUCGUUGGACAUAACAUGGCUCACCUUGGUCCAUUGUGAAGGCAAUGAGGACUCUUCUGAAGUUUACCAUUCUGAAGGAUGAAUAUUUCGUGUUAGGCAUGAAACAAGAGGGAUUUGUGCAUCUUCAAUGCAAUCUUUAGAUGAAAGGAACACUGAACACAUAUAUGUUGCGCCAAUGUUCAUUCAUAUUGAUGUAUACAAUUCAGGAAGAAGUCGCUGCUUGCAUAUUUAAGUUUCCUUAGUUAGUUGUCAGGUGAGUAUAAUUUACUGUCUCUAAUACAGGAAGCGUCUUUUUUACACUUCCCUUGAAUAGUUAAGCUCUAUGAUGUAUCACAGAUUCAUGACACAGAAUAGCUAUACAGUUUUGUGGAACUUCACUACAAUCAACAACAGUAGUCUGAUAAUCAAAAUUUUGUAUG
Triticum urartu is the source of this 1590-nucleotide long non-coding RNA. RefSeq lists it as uncharacterized. NCBI's taxonomy places the organism in Eukaryota, Viridiplantae, Streptophyta, Magnoliopsida, Poales, Poaceae. The record is from RefSeq and is a predicted model, not a curated record.